RNAcentral lists this transfer RNA (67 nucleotides) under Syrista parreyssii. Its description in RNAcentral is "tRNA-Cys". The record is from RNAcentral. Lineage: Eukaryota; Metazoa; Arthropoda; Insecta; Hymenoptera; Cephidae.
GAUCUUAUAUUUUAUUUAAAAAUUUUAAAUUGCAAAUUUAAAGUAGUAAUUUUUAUUACUAAGAUUU